UUAAAAUCUCAUCUGACCUUUUAAAUUUAGAUCAAGAUAUUGUUAUAGGUAUAGUAUAUAUAACCCCUGAAUAUACUGCUUUUUCUUCACAUGAUGCAUUUAGUCAACUUGAGGACGAGUAUACAAAUUUCUCACAAAAUUACAAAUUCGUAGCCUUAAUUGGAGACUUUAACGGACGAACGGCCAACGACGAUGAUUUUUUUUUUCAAAGAAAUGCAUGGAAACAAUGCGGCGAAUUUUGUAGAAAACGAUGUUUUAACGCUUGACUUAUUGAAUAUACCACGAAAAAGAAAUAGUUUAGACCCUAUAAGAAACAGGUACGGAAACAAAAUUUUAGAUUUUUGCAAAGGAAAUAACUUAUUUAUUGUAAAUGGUAGAAUAGGUGAAGACAGAAUGACAGGAAAGUUAACAUGUAAAAAUGCUAGCAUUGUAGAUUAUUGUAUAAGUUCUACAAGUUUAUUGAAAUAUUUUAGAAAUUUUUCUGUACUUGAUUUCAGUCAUUUUUAUUCAGAUGUUCAUUGUGCACUAGCAAUUUCAUUGUCGGGGUUAUCCCUGAAAAAUGUAGAGGAAACGGGGGGAAAUCGUAAUUGUCAAACAUUUUCUGAAAAAAUUAAGAAAUGGGAUAAUGAAAAAUGUCAUGAAUUUAAAGAUCAGAUUGAACAAGGCAAAGUUGAUGAAUUAAAGAUACUAUUAGACGAAGUUGAAAGUGGAAACCUAGAUUUUAGUAAAAAGUACUCGUCAGUUGAUAAAACAAAAAUUAAUACCUUACUUGACCAUUUAUGUUCAAUAUUCUGUAAAUCUGCGAAAUCCACAUUUGGAACUUGUAAAUUUUCGAAUUCUAAGAAAAAAGGUAAAAAGAAACUUGGAAAAUUGAAAAAAGAAUGGUUUAAUGACGACUGUCACUUUGAGAGACAAAAUUUCAGAAAACGUAAAAGAAAAUUCAAAACAAAUAGAACAGAUCAAAAUUUUCAAGACUUGAAACAAGCUGAAAAAAGAUAUAAAAAAGUUAUGGAUCAAGCUAUUCUUGAUCACAAAAGAAAUUUGUCAAAGAAAAUUAAAAAUUUAAAAUCAAAUAAUUCACAAGAAUUCUGGAAACUAUUAAAAAAUGGGAAAAACCGGGAGCAACCCGACAUUCCCAUGGAAAAACUUUUUGAAUUUUUUAAAUCUUUAAACGAGGAACCAAAUGACAAGCAAGACUUUAACAUACCAUAUAUUGACCCUAACGAUAUUAAUCGUCUGAACGAAAGUAUAAAUAGAAACAUUUCAAAAGACGAAAUUAAAAAAUGUAUUAAAAAAACUAAAAAA
RNAcentral lists this long non-coding RNA (1305 nucleotides) under Mytilus galloprovincialis (Mediterranean mussel). Lineage: Eukaryota; Metazoa; Mollusca; Bivalvia; Mytilida; Mytilidae. The record is from RNAcentral.